AGUGAACGCUGGCGGCGUGCUUAACACAUGCAAGUCGAACGAGAACGGGAUUAGCUUGCUAAUCUGUCAGCUAAGUGGCGCACGGGUGAGUAAUAUAUAGGUAACGUGCCUUCAAGAGGGGGAUAACAGAUGGAAACGUCUGCUAAAACCCCAUAUGCCUUUAAUGCGAAAGUAUGCAAGGGAAAUAUUUAUAGCUUGAAGAUCGGCCUGUACAGUAUCAGAUAGUUGGUGAGGUAAUAGCUCACCAAGUCAAUGACGCUUAACUGGUUUGAGAGGAUGAUCAGUCACACUGGAACUGAGACACGGUCCAGACUCCUACGGGAGGCAGCAGUGGGGAAUAUUGCACAAUGGGGGAAACCCUGAUGCAGCAACGCCGCGUGGAGGAUGACACAUUUCGGUGCGUAAACUCCUUUUAUAUAAGAAGAUAAUGACGGUAUUAUAUGAAUAAGCACCGGCUAACUCCGUGCCAGCAGCCGCGGUAAUACGGAGGGUGCAAGCGUUACUCGGAAUCACUGGGCGUAAAGAGCGUGUAGGCGGAUAGAUAAGUCAGAAGUGAAAUCCAAUAGCUUAACUAUUGAACUGCUUUUGAAACUGUCUAUCUAGAGUAUGGGAGAGGUAGAUGGAAUUUCUGGUGUAGGGGUAAAAUCCGUAGAGAUCAGAAGGAAUACCGAUUGCGAAGGCGAUCUACUGGAACAUAACUGACGCUGAGACGCGAGAGCGUGGGGAGCAAACAGG
This 735-nucleotide ribosomal RNA is filed under the name uncultured Arcobacter sp. RNAcentral describes it as "bacterial SSU rRNA". It matches the Rfam family "Bacterial small subunit ribosomal RNA", at positions 28 to 776 of the family's 1533-position model. Lineage: Bacteria; Pseudomonadati; Campylobacterota; Epsilonproteobacteria; Campylobacterales; Arcobacteraceae. The record is from RNAcentral.